GAAUCCUCAACUGCAUCGGUCAUCCGGUGCGGCUUGGACCUGGGAGCGUCUUUGUGGGUCUUUGCCCGCUCUCCUGAAAAGCAUUAGCGGUGUCCAAAGCAGAGACCGUCAGGGGAUGUGAUAAAUCGUCAACGCCCUUGGUAUGCUGCGACUGAGACAUGGCUCUCUAACCCUUCAUCGGAAUUGAAAA
Molecule: unclassified non-coding RNA, 190 nt
Filed under: uncultured Agaricales
Lineage: Eukaryota; Fungi; Basidiomycota; Agaricomycetes; Agaricales
Description: sequence contains ITS2
Source: RNAcentral